RNAcentral lists this ribosomal RNA (251 nucleotides) under uncultured bacterium. RNAcentral describes it as "partial 16S ribosomal RNA". It matches the Rfam family "Bacterial small subunit ribosomal RNA", at positions 524 to 776 of the family's 1533-position model. The record is from RNAcentral.
UACGUAGGGUGCAAGCGUUAAUCGGAAUUACUGGCGUAAAGCGUGCGCAGCGGUUUGUAAGUCAGAUGUGAAAUCCCCCGGGCUCAACCUGGGAAUUGCAUCUGUGACUGCAUAGCUAGAGUACGGUAGAGGGGGAUGGAAUUCCGCGUGUAGCAGUGAAAUGCGUAGAUAUGCGGAGGAACACCGAUGGCGAAGGCAAUCCCCUGGACCUGUACUGACGCUCAUGCACGAAAGCGUGGGGAGCAAACAGG